GCAACGUCCAGUACUUUCGAGUGGAAGAACACAGCGUUCUCGUGCGUCUCAGACGACUGUGUUAAUAGCCACUGCCAUGGCAGAAGCUUUUAAAACGAGCGACACGCUCGACACGAAAACGUAACAUCAUUUCUCCUUACCAAAUGGAUUCGAGGCAAAAGAUGGAAGAUUUAAAGUUUGAGGUUCACCCAUAUCUGAGAUCGUCAUUUCUGAGUUUAUCUUCGCGGGGAACAGAGUAAAAAGGAACAAUUGGAUUAAUAUUUUUACUCACUGACGCACUCGCCGUGUUUCGGCCCAUCCCAUGAACCAUCCGAUCGACAAGUCAAUUCAUAUUCUCCAUGAAGCUGAUACC
Long non-coding RNA from Bombus pyrosoma, 352 nucleotides. RefSeq lists it as uncharacterized. Lineage: Eukaryota; Metazoa; Arthropoda; Insecta; Hymenoptera; Apidae. The transcript is spliced from 3 exons. The record is from RefSeq and is a predicted model, not a curated record.